CAGUCGCCACGGGAACACGUAGGUGGCGAGCGUUGUCCGGAAUCAUUGGGCGUAAAGGGAGCGCAGGCGGGCAUGUAAGUCUUUCUUAAAAGUUCGGGGCUCAACCCCGUGAUGGGAAAGAAACUAUAUGUCUUGAGUACAGGAGGGGAAAGCGGAAUUCCCAGUGUAGCGGUGAAAUGCGUAGAUAUUGGGAGGAACACCAGAGGCGAAGGCGGCUUUCUGGACUGCAACUGACGCUGAGGCUCGAAAGCCAGGGGAGCGAACGGGAUUAGAUACCCCAGUAGUCCCUGUCUCUUAUACA
RNAcentral lists this ribosomal RNA (301 nucleotides) under uncultured bacterium. RNAcentral describes it as "partial 16S ribosomal RNA". It matches the Rfam family "Bacterial small subunit ribosomal RNA", at positions 509 to 809 of the family's 1533-position model. The record is from RNAcentral.